CGGAACGGGUGAGUAACGCGUGAGGAACCUGCCUCAAAGAGGGGGACAACAGUUGGAAACGACUGCUAAUACCGCAUAAGCCCACGGCUCGGCAUCGAGCAGGGGGAAAAGGAGUGAUCCGCUUUGAGAUGGCCUCGCGUCCGAUUAGCUAGUUGGUGAGGUAACGGCCCACCAAGGCAACGAUCGGUAGCCGGACUGAGAGGUUGAACGGCCACAUUGGGACUGAGACACGGCCCAG
RNAcentral lists this ribosomal RNA (238 nucleotides) under uncultured bacterium. Its description in RNAcentral is "partial 16S ribosomal RNA". It matches the Rfam family "Bacterial small subunit ribosomal RNA", at positions 100 to 334 of the family's 1533-position model. The record is from RNAcentral.